This 253-nucleotide ribosomal RNA is filed under the name uncultured bacterium. RNAcentral's name for it is "partial 16S ribosomal RNA". It matches the Rfam family "Bacterial small subunit ribosomal RNA", at positions 524 to 776 of the family's 1533-position model. The record is from RNAcentral.
UACGGGGGGGGCAAGCGUUGUUCGGAAUUACUGGGCGUAAAGGGCUCGUAGGCGGCCAACUAAGUCGGACGUGAAAUCCCUCGGCUCAACCGGGGAACUGCGUCCGAUACUGGAUGGCUUGAGUUCGGGAGAGGGAUGCGGAAUUCCAGGUGUAGCAGUGAAAUGCGUAGAUAUGCGGAGGAACACCGAUGGCGAAGGCAAUCCCCUGGGCCUGCACUGACGCUCAUGCACGAAAGCGUGGGGAGCAAACAGG